UACGAAGGGGGCUAGCGUUGUUCGGAUUUACUGGGCGUAAAGCGCGUGUAGGCGGACUUGUAAGUUGGGGGUGAAAUCCCAUGGCUCAACCAUGGAAGUGCACUCGAAACUGCAGGGCUAGAGUCCUGGAGAGGAAGGUGGAAUGCUUGGUGUAGAGGUGAAAUUCGUAGAUAUCAAGCGGAACACCGGUGGCGAAGGCGGCCUUCUGGACAGUGACUGACGCUGAGACGCGAAAGCGUGGGGAGCAAACAGG
Molecule: ribosomal RNA, 253 nt
Filed under: uncultured bacterium
Lineage: Bacteria
Description: partial 16S ribosomal RNA
Rfam family: Bacterial small subunit ribosomal RNA
Source: RNAcentral